CCUACGGGAGGCUGCAGUGGGGAAUAUUGCACAAUGGGCGCAAGCCUGAUGCAGCCAUGCCGCGUGUGUGAAGAAGGCCUUCGGGUUGUAAAGCACUUUCAGCGGGGAGGAAGGCGGUGAGGUUAAUAACCUCAUCGAUUGACGUUACCCGCAGAAGAAGCACCGGCUAACUCCGUGCCAGCAGCCGCGGUAAUACGGAGGGUGCAAGCGUUAAUCGGAAUUACUGGGCGUAAAGCGCACGCAGGCGGUCUGUCAAGUCGGAUGUGAAAUCCCCGGGCUCAACCUGGGAACUGCAUUCGAAACUGGCAGGCUAGAGUCUUGUAGGGGGGGGUAGAAUUCCAGGUGUAGCGGUGAAAUGCGUAGAGAUCUGGAGGAAUACCGGUGGCGAAGGCGGCCCCCUGGACAAAGACUGACGCUCAGGUGCGAAAGCGUGGGGAGCAAACAGGAUUAGAUACCCCGGUAGUC
This 465-nucleotide ribosomal RNA is filed under the name uncultured Klebsiella sp. Its description in RNAcentral is "bacterial SSU rRNA". It matches the Rfam family "Bacterial small subunit ribosomal RNA", at positions 338 to 795 of the family's 1533-position model. The record is from RNAcentral. Lineage: Bacteria; Pseudomonadati; Pseudomonadota; Gammaproteobacteria; Enterobacterales; Enterobacteriaceae.